This 67-nucleotide transfer RNA is filed under the name Marmota monax (woodchuck). RNAcentral's name for it is "tRNA.Val". Lineage: Eukaryota; Metazoa; Chordata; Mammalia; Rodentia; Sciuridae. The record is from RNAcentral.
GGCUGUGGCUCAGCGGUAGAGCACUGGUCUCACAUGUGUGAGGCCCUGAGUUGGAUCCUCAGCACCA